GACGAACGCUGGCGGCGUGCUUAACACAUGCAAGUCGAACGGAAAGGCCUGCUUUCCCUUGGGGAUUGCGGGUACUAGAGUGGCGAACGGGUGAGUAACACGUGACUUAUCUUCCCCCAACUUUGGUAUAAGCCUGGGAUACUAGGGCUUAUGCCCGAUAGCUCUGCAGGGUGGUGCCGGUGGUUGCAAACGAUUGUCUAGGGCUCGGGGCUUAUCUCGUGGGCUAUCAGCUUGUGGGUGGGGUAAUGGCCUACGAAUACUGCGACUGGUAGCCGGUCUGGGAGGGUGGACGGCAACAUUGGGACUGAGAUACGGCGAAGACGCCGACGCCAGGACGCCUAGGGGAAGAAGGCACAAGGGGCGGAAGACUGAUGCAGCGACGCUGAGGGGGGGAUGCCGGCCUUCGGGUUGUAACCUCCUUUCGGUAGAGCGGAAGCCACCUGGGUGGAAGGGUGGUGACGGUAGUGGUAGAAGAAGCACCGGCUAACUACGUG
This 494-nucleotide ribosomal RNA is filed under the name uncultured bacterium. Its description in RNAcentral is "partial 16S ribosomal RNA". It matches the Rfam family "Bacterial small subunit ribosomal RNA", at positions 28 to 507 of the family's 1533-position model. The record is from RNAcentral.